RNAcentral lists this ribosomal RNA (253 nucleotides) under uncultured bacterium. Its description in RNAcentral is "partial 16S ribosomal RNA". It matches the Rfam family "Bacterial small subunit ribosomal RNA", at positions 524 to 776 of the family's 1533-position model. The record is from RNAcentral.
UACGGAGGGUGCAAGCGUUAUCCGGAUUUACUGGGUUUAAAGGGUGUGUAGGCGGGCUUGUAAGUCAGGGGUGAAAUCCUACAGCUUAACUGUAGAACUGCCUUUGAUACUAUGAGUCUUGAAUAUUGUUGAGGUGGGCGGAAUACAUCAUGUAGCGGUGAAAUGCUUAGAUAUGAUGUAGAACACCGAUUGCGAAGGCAGCUCACUAAGCAAAUAUUGACGCUGAGGCACGAAAGCGUGGGGAUCAAACAGG